GUUGAUGCAAGACUACUUCGCGGAGAAUCCAACAUAUCCAUCGCACCUCUUCCGGAGAAGGUACCGAAUGCGUCGAUCCCUCUUUGUGAAAAUGUUCAAGCUUGCGAGGCAAAUUGUCGGUAUUUUACUCAAAGAAGAAAUGUUGCGGGCUUGAAGGGAUUUAGUGCAUAUCAAAAAAUCUCGGCAUCUAUGCGGGUGAUUGCAUAUGGCGUUCCGGCUAACUAUGCCGAUGAGUACCUUCGCAUUGGUGAAGAUACCACAAUUGAGUCAGUGCGUAGAUUUGCCAAAGUGGUCAUUCGUGUCUUUGGUCCUAAAUAUCUUCAGGCACCCAACGAGGAUGACACAAAGAAACUGAUGGCAUCUAAUGAGAGGAGAGGUUGGCCUGGCAUGCUAGGUAAGAUUGUAUUGUGGCAAGUCUCG
RNAcentral lists this ribosomal RNA (420 nucleotides) under Triticum aestivum (bread wheat). RNAcentral's name for it is "partial small subunit ribosomal RNA". The record is from RNAcentral. Lineage: Eukaryota; Viridiplantae; Streptophyta; Magnoliopsida; Poales; Poaceae.